Molecule: ribosomal RNA, 490 nt
Filed under: uncultured bacterium
Lineage: Bacteria
Description: partial 16S ribosomal RNA
Rfam family: Bacterial small subunit ribosomal RNA
Source: RNAcentral
AGUGAACGCUGGCGGUAGGCCUAACACAUGCAAGUCGAACGGCAGCACAGGAGAGCUUGCUCUCUGGGUGGCGAGUGGCGGACGGGUGAGGAAUACAUCGGAAUCUGCCCAGUCGUGGGGGAUAACGUAGGGAAACUUACGCUAAUACCGCAUACGACCUUCGGGUGAAGGAGGGGGAUCGCAAGACCUCUCGCGAUUGGAUGAGCCGAUGUCGGAUUAGCUAGUUGGCGGGGUAAUGGCCCACCAAGGCGACGAUCCGUAGCUGGUCUGAGAGGAUGAUCAGCCACACUGGAACUGAGACACGUUCCAGACUCCUACGGGAGGCAGCAGUGGGGAAUAUUGGACAAUGGUCGCAAGCCUGCUCCAGCCAUACCGCGUGGGUGAAGAAGGCCUUCGGGUUGUAAAGCCCUUUUGUUGGGAAAGAAAGCUUUCAUGCUAAUACCCUGGGAGGAUGACGGUACCCAAAGAAUAAGCACCGGCUAACUUCGUG